GGGGCCGUAGCGCAGUGGGAGCGCGCCUGAAUGGCAUUCAGGAGGUCCCGGGUUCAAAUCCCGGCGGCUCCA
This 72-nucleotide transfer RNA is filed under the name Pseudomonadota bacterium. RNAcentral describes it as "tRNA-Ala". It matches the Rfam family "tRNA". Rfam says of the family: Transfer RNA (tRNA) molecules are approximately 80 nucleotides in length. The record is from RNAcentral. Lineage: Bacteria; Pseudomonadati; Pseudomonadota. RNAcentral also lists the same sequence under 2 other names.